GAUUAACGCUGGCGGUGUGUCUAAUACAUGCAAGUCGAGCGAGGCUUCGAGCCGAGCGGCGGACGAGCGAGUAACACGUUACUACCUGCCCCGAACUCAGGGAUAACCCACCGAAAGGUGUGGCUAAUACCGGAUAGUCCAGAAAUGGUAAAGUUUUUCGGUUCGGGAGGGGGUUGCGGUCUAUCAGCUUGUUGGUGAGGUAAAGGCUCACCAAGGCUACGACGGAUAGCUGGUCUGAGAGGAUGAUCAGCCGCGAUGGGACUGAGACACGGCCCAUACUCCUACGGGAGGCAGCAGUAGGGAAUCUUCCACAAUGGGCGAAAGCCUGAUGGAGCAACACCGCGUGGUGGAUGAAGCCUUUUGGGGUGUAAACACCUUUUCUGAGAGAAGAAUUCUGACGGUAUCUUAGGAAUAAGCACCGGCUAACUCCG
RNAcentral lists this ribosomal RNA (431 nucleotides) under uncultured bacterium. RNAcentral describes it as "bacterial SSU rRNA". It matches the Rfam family "Bacterial small subunit ribosomal RNA", at positions 28 to 505 of the family's 1533-position model. The record is from RNAcentral.